AUUGGAUGAUCAGUCCAAUAGACCACUUGGUUACCAAAGCAGUUCAGGAUCUUCUUAUUGGGAUCAACACGGGUCAUUAAAAUAGGAAGGCAUGACUGAAUAUGGGGUCCAUAAGUAUUUUAGAGAGAAAAAAUAAGUGAAGAGAGAGAGAAUAGGAAAGAGAGAAAGAAAGAGUCUUCAUCUCUUCUAGAAGAGGAAUCUAAGAUCAGGAUCAUUAAGGGUCAUGUUAGGAUGCAUGCACUAUCGGCAGCUGGCCGUGGCUGGACAUAAAGAGAAGAAAAAACUCCAAAAUAAGAGAUUCAUAGGUUAUCUUAGAGAAAGAAAGUAGAGAGAGAUACAAAAG
This 343-nucleotide long non-coding RNA is filed under the name Elaeis guineensis (African oil palm). Its description in RNAcentral is "long non-coding RNA (EGUI_LNC001205)". Lineage: Eukaryota; Viridiplantae; Streptophyta; Magnoliopsida; Arecales; Arecaceae. The record is from RNAcentral.